Molecule: ribosomal RNA, 447 nt
Filed under: uncultured bacterium
Lineage: Bacteria
Description: SSU rRNA
Rfam family: Bacterial small subunit ribosomal RNA
Source: RNAcentral
AGAGCGAACGCUGGCGGCAGGCUUAACACAUGCAAGUCGAGCGGGCGUAGCAAUACGUCAGCGGCAGACGGGUGAGUAACGCGUGGGAACGUACCUUUUGGUUCGGAACAACACAGGGAAACUUGUGCUAAUACCGAAUAAGCCCUUACGGGGAAAGAUUUAUCGCCGAAAGAUCGGCCCGCGUCUGAUUAGCUAGUUGGUGGGGUAACGGCUCACCAAGGCGACGAUCAGUAGCUGGUCUGAGAGGAUGAUCAGCCACAUUGGGACUGAGACACGGCCCAAACUCCUACGGGAGGCAGCAGUGGGAAUAUGGACAAUGGGCGCAAGCCUGAUCCAGCCAUGCCGCGUGAGUGAUGAAGGCCCUAGGGUUGUAAAGCUCUUUGUGCGGAAGAUAAUGACGGUACCGCAAGAAUAACGCCCCGGACUAACGUUCGUGCCAGCAGCCGC